GACAUAAACUGGCAUGUUCUGAAAGAAUCACUCUGGAUGCUGUGUGGAGAAAACACUGAAAAGAAUUCUAGAGUGAAAGUUUCAUGAAUAUAAGAAGCAAGACAAGGAAGUGGCUUAUGCUUAAGGCCUUAAAGGCAACCACUGUGACAAUCCAGCCAUUCUCUGGAGAAUUCAGCAGAAAGCCAGUUGGAAGAAUUUGUUAUCUCGAUUAUGGAGGGCGACAAGUCCCACAGUCUGCCAUCUGCAGGAUGGAGAACCAGUCUUUAUAGGGGGAGAAUAAUUGACUCCAUUCAAGUGUUCGCUCCUGUUUCAAUCAACUAUGGCUGAAGAGUGAGGAGACAUUUGGAAUAAAUAUGGCUUCUGGGGGCCCAUUCCUAUGGAUCAGCAGCUGGCUUCUGGAGGCCCAUUCCUGUGAAUCGUCGAUCUCAUAGAAGAUAAUAUUGUUAGAAGGCUUACCUCAUUGAUGCUGAACAUCCUAAAAAGCUUCUGCUGCUUUGAGUCACUGAAAAAGACCAAGAAACAUGAAUUUAAAAAAAAAUUUCAAAUGUUAUAAAAUAAAUAAUAUGAACUCAUUAUA
Molecule: long non-coding RNA, 577 nt
Organism: Homo sapiens (human)
Lineage: Eukaryota; Metazoa; Chordata; Mammalia; Primates; Hominidae
Gene: HRAT17
Product: heart tissue-associated transcript 17
Source: Ensembl